RNAcentral lists this long non-coding RNA (1251 nucleotides) under Sus scrofa (pig). RNAcentral's name for it is "lncRNA (ENSSSCG00035008671.1)". Lineage: Eukaryota; Metazoa; Chordata; Mammalia; Artiodactyla; Suidae. The record is from RNAcentral.
GGGGGACCUUGGAUAAUGACAGUAAUUGUCACAACUUCCAAUCUUCCUCAAGCUUUAGAGUUCAGGACUCUGGAUCCCCUCACCAAGGCCACGGCACCAGAGAGGAUGAGAAGGGCUGAUGUUGCAUCUCAGCUGCCCUCUUAGCUGACUAGCCGCACGGAAAAAAAGAAUCCUUGGAAAAUGAAAUAAAAUAUCUUUAUAACUAUUCUUCUCGACUGGGAUACAGCAGGGAGCAGAUGAGAAACCCAAUUUCCGCCACUUUGCAAACACUGGAAGUGAAACUAUGCAGUUUUCUUCUGAAGCAAAUUGCUUUAAGUAGAAAAGCUGCUUCCAGCAAAAUGACGAAGCAUUCCAAGUAUCACCGGUGUGCAUGGUGUGGUCCAAAGGGGGCCCUGAAGCUUGCCGAGCACUAACAAGCCAUCUCUGGUUAGCGAGCCGACAGGUGCCUGCAAGUCCAAGCAGCAGAUGACAUCAGGCCGAGGCUGGGGUCCCACAGGCAAACUCACCCCAGCGGACCUCGUGAUACUUUGGGAGGCCAGGCUCACUGUCUCCCAUUCCUAGUCACCUUGUUACCAACUCCUGUGGAAAAUUUAAUGUGGCCAGAAGGAAUUCUGACCUCUUUUAGACAAAAACAUGCUCAUGUUUUUAUGAUGAACUAUUGCAUAUUUUUAUUGAAAACAUUUAAUACUGCUCUAAAAGGGUGACUAUUUUUUAGGUAUUGCCCCACUGCUGAUUUCUGAUUGAAUGCUGCCAAGAACAAGAAAGGAGGAAAAAAAAAAAAAAAAAAAAAACUGGAGACGCUAUCAGAUUCAUUAAACAUUGUAUUUAAUUGUUCUUGUAUUUAAACCCUGCCCUUAUCAGUGACAUUGCCACUUUUCUCAUUUUUCAAAGUUGCAUAUUGGAAGAAAACAAGAAAAGGGAGCAAUGGUGUGGCCUGGGAAACUAGGGUGUUUACUGCCUAGAGGAACCAGAAGUUCAUAUGGGCCUGGCUGGCUGAAGAAAUGACAGCUCAGCAUAGGGAAGGGGAGGGAAAAAAAAAAAAAAAAAAAAAGGCGAUAGCAGCAGCAAAGCAAGAACAAAACAUUUAAAGAGAUCUGGCCAGAACUGGUCUGCACAAAUUCCUGUCCUGCCUUCCUCCUCCUCGCUCCCACAAGCCGCAGCAAUCUUGCCUUCCCUAGGAAACUGCAACUCCUACCUCCUCCGAGGGGGCUGCGCACGCGCCCCGUGCCGGGGUGCGCGCAUUUUCCCUCU